AGAGCGGACGCUGGCGGCAGGCCUAACACAUGCAAGUCGAACGGACCCUUCGGGGUUAGUGGCGGACGGGUGAGUAACACGUGGGAACGUGCCUUUUGGUUCGGAAUAGCUCCUGGAAACGGGUGGUAAUGCCGAAUGUGCCCUUCGGGGGAAAGAUUUAUCGCCAUUAGAGCGGCCCGCGUCUGAUUAGCUAGUUGGUGAGGUAAUGGCCCACCAAGGCGACGAUCAGUAGCUGGUCUGAGAGGAUGACCAGCCACAUUGGGACUGAGACACGGCCCAAACUCCUACGGGAGGCAGCAGUGGGGAAUCUUGCGCAAUGGGCGAAAGCCUGACGCAGCCAUGCCGCGUGAAUGAUGAAGGUCUUAGGAUUGUAAAAUCUUUCAACCGGGGUACGAUAAUGACGGUACCCGGAGAAGAAGCCCCGGCUAACUUCGCGCCAGCAGCCGC
This 447-nucleotide ribosomal RNA is filed under the name uncultured soil bacterium. Its description in RNAcentral is "bacterial SSU rRNA". It matches the Rfam family "Bacterial small subunit ribosomal RNA", at positions 26 to 518 of the family's 1533-position model. The record is from RNAcentral.